GAUGAAGAACGCAGCGAAAUGCGAUAAGUAAUGUGAAUUGCAGAAAUCAGUGAAUCAUCGAAUCUUUGAACGCACAUUGCGCCCCUUGGUAUUCCGAGGGGCAUGCCUGUUCGAGCGUCAUUAUAACCCCUCAAGCUCAGCUUGGUGUUGGGGCCUGCUGCACUGGCAGCCCUUAAAAUCAGUGGCGGCGCCAUCUGGCUCUAAGCGUAGUAAUUCUUCUCGCUAUGGAGUCCUGGUGGAUGCUUGCCAUCAACCCCCAAUUUUUCUAUGGUUGACCUCGGAUCAGGUAGGGAUACCCGCUGAACUUAAGCAUAUCAAUAAGCGGAGGA
Molecule: unclassified non-coding RNA, 329 nt
Filed under: soil metagenome
Description: partial contains 5.8S ribosomal RNA, internal transcribed spacer 2, and large subunit ribosomal RNA
Rfam family: 5.8S ribosomal RNA (bases 1-120)
Source: RNAcentral